RNAcentral lists this ribosomal RNA (445 nucleotides) under uncultured bacterium. Its description in RNAcentral is "partial 16S ribosomal RNA". It matches the Rfam family "Bacterial small subunit ribosomal RNA", at positions 354 to 796 of the family's 1533-position model. The record is from RNAcentral.
GUGAGGAAUAUUGGUCAAUGGGCGAGAGCCUGAACCAGCCAAGUCGCGUGAAGGAAGAAGGAUCUAUGGUUCGUAAACUUCUUUUGCAGGGGAAUAAAGUGCAGGACGUGUCCUGUUUUGUAUGUACCCUGAGAAUAAGGAUCGGCUAACUCCAUGCCAGCAGCCGCGGUAAUACGGAGGAUCCGAGCGUUAUCCGGAUUUAUUGGGUUUAAAGGGUGCGUAGGUGGUUUGAUAAGUCAGCGGUGAAAGUUUGCAGCUUAACUGUAAAAAUGCCGUUGAAACUGUCGGACUUGAGUGUAAAUGAGGUAGGCGGAAUGCGUGGUGUAGCGGUGAAAUGCAUAGAUAUCACGCAGAACUCCGAUUGCGAAGGCAGCUUACUAAGCUACAACUGACACUGAAGCACGAAAGCGUGGGGAUCAAACAGGAUUAGAUACCCUAGUAGUCC